CUGGGGAUACAGCUCAGCUGGCAGAGUGUUUGCCUAGCAUGCACAAGGCCUUGGGUUCAAUCCCAAGCACCACA
RNAcentral lists this transfer RNA (74 nucleotides) under Marmota monax (woodchuck). RNAcentral's name for it is "tRNA.Ala". Lineage: Eukaryota; Metazoa; Chordata; Mammalia; Rodentia; Sciuridae. The record is from RNAcentral.